RNAcentral lists this ribosomal RNA (216 nucleotides) under Glomeromycotina sp. Its description in RNAcentral is "partial small subunit ribosomal RNA". The stretch from base 40 to 216 matches the Rfam family "Eukaryotic small subunit ribosomal RNA", at positions 686 to 864 of the family's 1831-position model. The record is from RNAcentral. Lineage: Eukaryota; Fungi; Glomeromycota.
GGGUCAUUAGGUUGGUCGUGCCACCGGUACGUACUGGUCUCACUGAUUCCUCCUUCCUGAAGAACCGUAAUGCCAUUAAUUUGGUGUUGCGGGGAAACAGGACUGUUACUUUGAAAAAAUUAGAGUGUUUAACGCAAGCUAACGCUUGAAUACAUUAGCAUGGAAUAAUGAAAUAGGACGAUCGAUCCUAUUUUGUUGGUUUCUAGGAUUGACGUA